RNAcentral lists this non-coding RNA (824 nucleotides) under Syncope antenori (Ecuador silent frog). RNAcentral describes it as "partial small subunit ribosomal RNA". It matches the Rfam family "Bacterial small subunit ribosomal RNA". The record is from RNAcentral. Lineage: Eukaryota; Metazoa; Chordata; Amphibia; Anura; Microhylidae.
AGCCUUUUCAUCAACCCCUACCCACCUUACACAUGCAAGUAUCUGCACACCCGUGAGAACGCCCUCCCCCCUCGCUCAGGAAGAAGAGCUGGUAUCAGGCACAUACUAAGCCCACAACACCUAGCUACGCCACACCUACAAGGGUACUCAGCAGUGAUAAACAUUGAUCAUAAGCGCCAGCUUGAAUCAGCCGAGGUAAAGAGGGCCGGCAAAUCCGGUGCCAGCCGCCGCGGCUACACCGUUAGGCCCAAGUUGAUGCACUCCGGCGUUAAGCGUGGUUAAAGUUACAUCAUUGAUUAGAGCCAAACUUCAACCAAGUUGUGACACACUUGCUACUAGAAGCCCGAAACGAAAGUUACUCUAACCGACCCACUUGACGCCACGACAAUCAGAACACAAACUGGGAUUAGGUACCCCACUAUGUCUAAUUGUAAAACAUUCACUUACACUAAAACCGCCCAGGAAUUACGAGCCAAAGCUUAAAACCUAAAGGACUUGACGGUGUCCCACCCACCUAGAGGAGCCUGUUCUAUAAUCGAUUUCCCCCGAUAAACCUCACCACUUCUAGCCACCAGCCUGUAUACCUCCGUCGUAAGCUUACCAUGUGAACGAACCUAGUGAGCCUAAAGGUCACCACCAAUACGUCAGGUCAAGGUGCAGCUAACGAACUGGGAAGAAAUGGGCUACAGUCUCUACCUUAGAGCCAACGAAAGACUUCAUGAAACACAGCCUAAAGGCGGAUUUAGUAGUAAAAAGAAAAUAGAGAGUUCUUUUUAACCAGGCGCUGGGACGCGUACACACCGCCCGUCACCCUCUUCAAACGC